CCUACGGGUGGCAGCAGUGGGGAAUAUUGCACAAUGGGGGAAACCCUGAUGCAGCGACGCCGCGUGAGUGAAGAAGUAAUUCGUUACGUAAAGCUCUAUCAGCAGGGAAGAAACACUGACCUUACGGUCAGCAGACGGUACCUGAGUAAGAAGCCCCGGCUAACUACGUGCCAGCAGCCGCGGUAAUACGUAGGGGGCAAGCGUUAUCCGGAUUUACUGGGUGUAAAGGGAUCGUAGAAGGUGCGCCAAGUCUGGAGUGAAAUGCCGCAGCUGAACUGCGGAACUGCUUUGGAAACUGGCGAACUAGAGUGCGGGAGGGGUAAGCGGAAUUCCUAGUGUAGCGGUGAAAUGCGUAGAUAUUAGGAGGAACACCGGUGGCGAAGGCGGCUUACUGGACCGUAACUGACGUUGAGGCUCGAAAGCGUGGGGAGCAAACAGGAUUAGAUACCCGGGUAGUC
This 458-nucleotide ribosomal RNA is filed under the name uncultured bacterium. RNAcentral describes it as "partial 16S ribosomal RNA". It matches the Rfam family "Bacterial small subunit ribosomal RNA", at positions 338 to 795 of the family's 1533-position model. The record is from RNAcentral.